CCUACGGGUGGCAGCAGUGGGGAAUAUUGGGCAAUGGGCGCAAGCCUGACCCAGCAACGCCGCGUGAAGGAAGAAGGCUUUCGGGUUGUAAACCUCUUUUUAGAGGGAAGAGCAGAAGACGGUACCUCUUGAAUAAGCCACGGCUAACUACGUGCCAGCAGCCGCGGUAAUACGUAGGUGGCAAGCGUUGUCCGGAGUUACUGGGUGUAAAGGGCGUGCAGCCGGGAAGGCAAGUCAGGUGUGAAAGCCCGGGGCUCAACCGGCGAACUGCAUUUGAAACUGUUUUUCUUGAGUACCGGAGAGGUCAUCGGAAUGCGUGGUGUAGCGGUGAAAUGCGUAGAUAUAAGGAAGAACACCAGUGGCGAAGGCGGAUUACUGGACGGCAACUGACGGUGAGGCACGAAAGCGUGGGGAGCGAACAGGAUUAGAUACCCUAGUAGUC
This 442-nucleotide ribosomal RNA is filed under the name uncultured bacterium. RNAcentral's name for it is "partial 16S ribosomal RNA". It matches the Rfam family "Bacterial small subunit ribosomal RNA", at positions 338 to 795 of the family's 1533-position model. The record is from RNAcentral.